UAGGGAAUCUUCGGCAAUGGGCGAAAGCCUGACCGAGCAACGCCGCGUGAAUGAUGAAGGCCUUCGGGUUGUAAAAUUCUGUUAUAAGGGAAGAACGACUUUAGUAGGAAAUGGCUAGAGUGUGACGGUACCUUAUGAGAAAGCCACGGCUAACUACGUGCCAGCAGCCGCGGUAAUACGUAGGUGGCGAGCGUUAUCCGGAAUUAUUGGGCGUAAAGAGCGCGCAGGUGGUUGAUUAAGUCUGAUGUGAAAGCCCACGGCUUAACCGUGGAGGGUCAUUGGAAACUGGUCGACUUGAGUGCAGAAGAGGGAAGUGGAAUUCCAUGUGUAGCGGUGAAAUGCGUAGAGAUAUGGAGGAACACCAGUGGCGAAGGCGGCUUCCUGGUCUGUAACUGACACUGAGGCGCGAAAGCGUGGGGAGCAAACAGGA
This 430-nucleotide ribosomal RNA is filed under the name uncultured bacterium. RNAcentral's name for it is "bacterial SSU rRNA". It matches the Rfam family "Bacterial small subunit ribosomal RNA", at positions 355 to 777 of the family's 1533-position model. The record is from RNAcentral.